GCCAAGGGUGAGGGUGACAGUAAGUGUUAUGACUCGGCCAAGUGGGUUGUUAAGGUACUUGGCAUACCAACCAAUGGCGGUUUUUUGCUUGGGGACAAAUACUUCAUCACGAUCAAGGGAUCCUGUAUUGGAGUGAUGGCGGCGAUGGCUAUACUUCCAAGAGAAGUAGGGGACAAGGAGGCAAGAGUGGAGGAUAAGGCCAACAGUGUCGUCAAGCCAUUGAUAGUCACUGAAGGCAUGGUGGCCACAUUCAUGAGCUACAACCCAAACUCCAGUUAAAAUGCAGCCUUGAAGAGCCCAGUAAACUGGCCAGGCCAGAUAAGAGAGAGGGUGAGGAAGUUGGUGAAUGUAAGUGUCGGCAAUGUAGUAAAAGACAAAGGCAAUGGUGAGGUCAUGAACAACGUAGGAGAAUGAACGGAGAACAGACCGCUCAAAACAGUGAGGUGGGAUAGCUUUCUUUACUUGGCUGAGUGUGAAUGGUGGCUUUGAGCAUGGAACUCGCUUCAAGGGAUCAGAAUCCACCUUCAUGGGCGUUGAAGGUACAGCCAUUCGUCCACCUGCACCCAUUGUUCGUCAACCUG
RNAcentral lists this long non-coding RNA (581 nucleotides) under Citrus sinensis (sweet orange). RNAcentral's name for it is "long non-coding RNA (CSIN_LNC004584)". The record is from RNAcentral. Lineage: Eukaryota; Viridiplantae; Streptophyta; Magnoliopsida; Sapindales; Rutaceae.